AACGAAAACAAAAUGGAGAUGAUCAUCAUCAUUCCCUCCUGGCCUCCCUGACACUUAAACGUUUUGAAUGAAAGCAUUUUCUAUGUUUUCCAAAUUCUUUGAAAAGGGUUUUCAAUAUAUUCAUUUGGGAAUCAUAGGAAUUGCAUCCAUUCCAAAUUUUUUAGUCAGUGAAUCAGGAACUUGAUGUUCAACCCCAAGGGUAUUAGCCACAUGGGGUUGAAAUUUGCAAGGCCAGGGCCGGGAAAGAAUGGAAAUGCCACUCUUCUCCUCCAGCAUAGAAUGCUCGCUUAUCUUACAGCAACUUCUUUUAUUCGGAACCUGGUGUCCAAGAAAAGAAGGCGAAUGGUUGUUGGUGGUUAUGAUCUGGAUAUGUCAUACAUAACAGAUCGUCUAUUAGCAAUGUCAUUUCCUGCUGAACGUAUGCGAGCAAUGUAUCGUAAUCCUCUCUGGCAGGUGAAGUCUGUGCUAGAAAUGAGACACCAGGGGCAUUAUAAGAUCUACAAUUUGUGUAUAGAAGAAGACUAUGAUCCAUUACAUUUUCAUGGCCGUGUGGAGAAGUUUCCUUUUGAUGACAAUCAUGUUCCAUCUCUCCAAAUGAUGAAGUUGUUCUGUGAGAGUGUGCAUUCAUGGCUAUCAAAUGACCCAAAAAAUAUUGCAGUUAUACAUUGCAUGGCUGGCAAAGGUCGAACAGGAUUAAUGGUGUGUGCCUACCUUGUUUACAGUGGCAUGUUAGCAGAGGAAGCUCUUCAGCUAUAUGCCCAAAAACGGACUACCAACAAUGAAGGAGUCUCUAUACCAAGCCAACGUCGUUAUGUGGGGUAUUGGGAAAAUAUACUUUCAUUUCCAAGGGGAGUUAGAAAUGGACUUCCAGAUGUCAACUUGCCUCCACCAUGUGGUAGAGAAUUGCGACGAAUUCGUCUUUAUGACACCAUUGCCACAACCUCUGUCUUCUUUGUGGUCUCAGAGCUCCAAGAGAUUCCUAGUCAGAUGUACUGUCCACCUGUUGAAGUUGCCAAGAGUUGCUGUAGAGAAAUCAAUAAAGGAUAUGAGGUUAACAGCAGUCCUCGGUACUUCUUGUCAUUUAUUGAAGGUGAAGAAGAAGGGAACACAUCAGAAUCAGAAGAACCUCGUGUCGUAGUCCAAAUGGACACAGAAAGUCCUGUAUUAUACCAGAAGACCUGUCUUGACUAUCAUUUCAGUAAACCUGUGCAAGUUAGCGGAGAUGUGCGAGUUAUAUUCUAUCAAAAGAUGAUUGGGGGUCGUCUUUUUUAUGCUUGUUUCAAUACAGCCUUCAUAAAAAACAGCUUGCUACAGUUUACUAUCCGGGAUUUGGACAAAGUUGGGAGCACAGGUAGAUCAAUAUGUGGCCCUGCCUUCUGCAUGGAGUUGCUAUUUGGUCCUGCUAAUCCUAAGCAUUCCGUGUCAUGUUCAUCUGAUUACGACAACUAAAGUCAAUAUCUGUUUAAGAAACGAUACGAUGCACCUUGUUUGUUUGAUUUUUCUGGCAAAAUGGUCCAUUUGAUGAAGUUAUGGAUCAAGUGAUACAGCAGCUUACACGCUGAGCGAUUCUGUAAUCUUGCCUUUGGGUGAUAUGUCAAAUUGCAUCUGUAUCAUCUAUCUCCAAGGAUCUAGCUCUGGACUUGGUGCUCCUCUUUUAAAUUGUGGUGUCCAUUGCUCUGCAUCGCUUAAGAGUUUUUAUAUUGAAUUGAGAGAUAUAGCUCUAAUCAGAACCUUAAUUAGGAACUUCCAAGUAGAAUGUAUCCUAGUAGACGAGAGAAGUGUAGUUGAACUGCUUACAUAUGAAGCAUUUCUAAAAAUGGGUGAUGGCCCAAACAACCUUAAUCUUGCAAACCAAUCUACAGGUUUGCGAACCAACCCUCUCAGUUAAGGGUAUCAUCAGUCUACCAGUCACCAUAGGCCAAGAAAACACACACU
This is a non-coding RNA of Theobroma cacao (cacao), 1935 nucleotides long. The record is from RefSeq and is a predicted model, not a curated record. NCBI's taxonomy places the organism in Eukaryota, Viridiplantae, Streptophyta, Magnoliopsida, Malvales, Malvaceae.